Molecule: ribosomal RNA, 820 nt
Filed under: uncultured eukaryote
Lineage: Eukaryota
Description: SSU rRNA
Rfam family: Eukaryotic small subunit ribosomal RNA
Source: RNAcentral
CGGUGUUUAACUGGCGUGAUGUGGGACGUCCUACCGGUGGGCUUAGCCUCGCGAGGGGCGGCCCAACUAAUAUCCCGUCGCGGUGCUCUUUACUGAGUGUCGAGUCGGGCCGGUACGUUUACUUUGAACAAAUUAGAGUGCUUAAAGCAGGCUAUCCUCGCCUGAAUACUGCGUGCAUGGAAUAAUGGAAUAGGACCUCGGUUCUAUUUUGUUGGUUUUCGGAACCCCGAGGUAAUGAUUAAUAGGGACAGAUGGGGGCAUUCGUAUUGCGACGUUAGAGGUGAAAUUCUUGGAUCGUCGCAAGACGGACAGAAGCGAAAGCAUUUGCCAAAAAUGUUUUCAUUAAUCAAGAACGAAAGUUAGAGGUUCGAAGGCGAUCAGAUACCGCCCUAGCUCUAACCAUAAACGAUGCCAGCUAGCGAUCCGCCGAAGUUCCUCCGAUGACUCGGCGGGCAGCUUCCGGGAAACCAAAGCUUUUGGGUUCCGGGGAGAAGUAUGGUUGCAAAGCUGAAACUUAAAGGAAUUGACGGAAGGGCACCACCAGGAGUGGAGCCUGCGGCUUAAUUUGACUCAACACGGGAAACCUCACCAGGCCCAGACACCGGAAGGAUUGACAGAUUGAUAGCUCUUUCUUGAUUCGGUGGGUGGUGGUGCAUGGCCGUUCUUAGUUGGUGGAGCGAUUUGUCUGGUUAAUUCCGAUAACGAACGAGACUCUAGCCUGCUAAAUAGGCGUACCUUAUGGUAUCGCGAAGGCCCCCGGCUUCGGCCGGUGGGUUUUUACUACCAACGUACAAACAAAUCUUCUUAGAGGGACAGGCGG